RNAcentral lists this ribosomal RNA (763 nucleotides) under Veillonella parvula. RNAcentral describes it as "bacterial SSU rRNA". It matches the Rfam family "Bacterial small subunit ribosomal RNA", at positions 49 to 785 of the family's 1533-position model. The record is from RNAcentral. Lineage: Bacteria; Bacillati; Bacillota; Negativicutes; Veillonellales; Veillonellaceae.
CUACCAUGCAGUCGANGAAGAGCGAUGGAAGCUUGCUUCUAUCAAUCUUAGUGGCGAACGGGUGAGUAACGCGUAAUCAACCUGCCCUUCAGAGGGGGACAACAGUUGGAAACGACUGCUAAUACCGCAUACGAUCCAAUCUCGGCAUCGAGGAUGGAUGAAAGGUGGCCUCUAUUUAUAAGCUAUCACUGAAGGAGGGGAUUGCGUCUGAUUAGCUAGUUGGAGGGGUAACGGCCCACCAAGGCAAUGAUCAGUAGCCGGUCUGAGAGGAUGAACGGCCACAUUGGGACUGAGACACGGCCCAGACUCCUACGGGAGGCAGCAGUGGGGAAUCUUCCGCAAUGGACGAAAGUCUGACGGAGCAACGCCGCGUGAGUGAUGACGGCCUUCGGGUUGUAAAGCUCUGUUAAUCGGGACGAAAGGUCUCCUUGCGAAUAGUUAGAAGAAUUGACGGUACCGGAAUAGAAAGCCACGGCUAACUACGUGCCAGCAGCCGCGGUAAUACGUAGGUGGCAAGCGUUGUCCGGAAUUAUUGGGCGUAAAGCGCGCGCAGGCGGAUCGNUCAGUCUGUCUUAAAAGUUCGGGGCUUAACCCCGUGAUGGGAUGGAAACUGCUGAUCUAGAGUAUCGGAGAGGAAAGUGGAAUUCCUAGUGUAGCGGUGAAAUGCGUAGAUAUUAGGAAGAACACCAGUGGCGAAGGCGACUUUCUGGACGAAAACUGACGCUGAGGCGCGAAAGCCAGGGGAGCGAACGGGAUUAGAUAC